GACGAACGCUGGCGGCGUGCCUAAUACAUGCAAGUAGAACGCUGAAGGAGGAGCUUGCUUCUCCGGAUGAGUUGCGAACGGGUGAGUAACGCGUAGGUAACCUGCCUGGUAGCGGGGGAUAACUAUUGGAAACGAUAGCUAAUACCGCAUAACAGUAGAUAUUGCAUGAUAUCUGCUUGAAAGGUGCAAUUGCAUCACUACCAGAUGGACCUGCGUUGUAUUAGCUAGUUGGUGAGGUAACGGCUCACCAAGGCGACGAUACAUAGCCGACCUGAGAGGGGGAUCGGCCCAACUGGGACUGAGAACCGGCCCAGACUCCUACGGGAGGCAGCAGUAGGGAAUCUUCGGCAAUGGACGGAAGUCUGACCGAGCAACGCCGCGUGAGUGAAGAAGGUUUUCGGAUCGUAAAGCUCUGUUGUAAGAGAAGAACGAGUGUGAGAGUGGAAAGUUCACACUGUGACGGUAUCUUACCAGAAAGGGACGGCUAACUACGUG
RNAcentral lists this ribosomal RNA (495 nucleotides) under uncultured bacterium. RNAcentral describes it as "partial 16S ribosomal RNA". It matches the Rfam family "Bacterial small subunit ribosomal RNA", at positions 28 to 507 of the family's 1533-position model. The record is from RNAcentral.